UUGUUGUUUUCUCUUGUAAUGUCCUGUUCCUUUUUCCAGCAUCUCUGGCUUCCAGCAUUGCAUCUGGAGUGAUUUCAGGGUUGUUCCUACUUUUGCUGAUCCCUGCCAUCCUCUACCUGGUGAAGAAAAAGAGUUUGAUGUCAGACAGUGGGUCACCUGAUGAAGAUGAGAUCAUCUAUAUGUGUGCAGUCAUGCCUGCUGACCAGGGGGAUCAUGGUAAAGACACUGGUGGAGAUCUGGAAGAAGACUA
Long non-coding RNA from Alosa sapidissima (American shad), 250 nucleotides. RefSeq lists it as uncharacterized. The transcript is spliced from 3 exons. The record is from RefSeq and is a predicted model, not a curated record. NCBI's taxonomy places the organism in Eukaryota, Metazoa, Chordata, Actinopteri, Clupeiformes, Clupeidae.